GGAGUUAGCCGGUGCUUCUUCUGUGAGUGAUGUCCUUCCUGCCGGCUAUUAACCCGCAGGCCUUCUUCCUCACUGAAAGUGCUUUACAACCCGAAGGCCUUCUUCACACACGCGGCAUGGCUGGAUCAGGGUUGCCCCCAUUGUCCAAUAUUCCCCACUGCUGCCUCCCGUAGGAGUCUGGGCCGUGUCUCAGUCCCAGUGUGGCUGAUCAUCCUCUCAGACCAGCUACGGAUCGUCGCCUUGGUGAGCCGUUACCUCACCAACCAGCUAAUCCGACAUAGGCUCAUCCGAUAGCGCGAGGCCCGAAGGUCCCCCGCUUUCCCCCGUAGGGCGUAUGCGGUAUUAGCCUGGGUUUCCCCAGGUUAUCCCCCACUACCGGGCAGAUUCCUAUGCAUUACUCACCCGUCCGCCGCUCGCCACCAGGGAGCAAGCUCCCCGUGCUGCCGCUCGACUUGCAUGUGUUAGGCCUGCCGCCAGCGUUCAAUCUGAGCCAGGAUCAACACUGACUGAGCGGCG
RNAcentral lists this ribosomal RNA (516 nucleotides) under uncultured bacterium. Its description in RNAcentral is "partial 16S ribosomal RNA". The record is from RNAcentral.